CCCAGAGCCUGGGUGUCAGACCGUCUCUGCCUCUCCCCUUCCCCUUUCCAUCCUGCACAGAACACUAACCCUGGCGUCCCUGGCGUCUGUGGCCCCAUCGCCCUCUGACCUCCCUGACAGCACUGUGAUCUCUUGCAGGGCAGGGGCCAUGCUGUGACUCUGCCUGGAUCCUCCACGCCCCGCACAGAACCCGCAGGGGGUGUUGACUCAGCAGGGCCACAGCGAUGCGUGACUUAAUGAAGUUGCUUUCAGUAGAAGGUUUCCAAACACAUGUUCCACACUCGGAUGAAGCCAUUGUGGCCUCCUCGGAUUUGCUUCCUGCAGAUGUUUGCUUCCAUCCGUGGUUUGGCAGAGAACAGAGCACUACGUUUCCAGCACGUCCUGCUCAUCCUGCUGGGGCCCGGACACUUCUU
This 413-nucleotide long non-coding RNA is filed under the name Homo sapiens (human). Its description in RNAcentral is "HSALNT0253673". Lineage: Eukaryota; Metazoa; Chordata; Mammalia; Primates; Hominidae. The record is from RNAcentral.